RNAcentral lists this non-coding RNA (337 nucleotides) under Dracunculus medinensis (Guinea worm). Its description in RNAcentral is "Eukaryotic small subunit ribosomal RNA". It matches the Rfam family "Eukaryotic small subunit ribosomal RNA", at positions 1313 to 1666 of the family's 1831-position model. The record is from Rfam by way of RNAcentral. Lineage: Eukaryota; Metazoa; Nematoda; Chromadorea; Rhabditida; Dracunculidae.
UUGAUAUUACUGUACUAAUAAAACAGACUCGGCUUAAUUUAACACAAAAUGGGAAAACUCACGCGGCCCAGACAUCGUGGGACGAUUUGUGCGAUCUUUUAAAGGGACAAGCGGUGUUCAGCCGCAUGAAACUGAGCAAUAACAGGUCUGUGAUGCCCUUAGAUGUCCGAGGCUGCACGCGCGCUACACUGGAGGAAUCAACGUGCUAUGACCAUUGUCGAAAGGCACUGGUGACCUGUUGAAAAUCCUUCAUGCUCGGGAUAGGGAAUUGCAAUUAUUUCCUUUGAUCAAGUGUGAGUCAUCAGCUCACGCUGAUUACGUCCAUGCCCUUUGUACA